AAGUUGGCUUACAAUCUUCUUCGUCGACCUGAUGGCACUUUCAAUCGUCACUUGGCAGAGUUUCUUGAUCGCAAAGUCCCUGCUAAUGCGAACCUAGUUGAUGGGGUUUUCUCGUUUGAUGUUCUCAUUGAUCGUGGUACGAGCCUCCUGAGUCGGAUUUAUAGGCCAGCUACAGCUGAAGAGCCUCAACCGAAUAUUGCUGAACUUGAGAAGCCUGUUACAGCGGAGGUGGUCCCUGUUAUUAUUUUCUUUCAUGGCGGAAGCUUUGCACAUUCCUCGGCUAAUAGUGCUAUAUAUGACACUCUAUGCGGAGAUUGGUAAGGCUUUGUAAGGCUGUUGUGGUCUCCGUGAAUUAUCGCCGUGCACCCGAAAAUAGAUAUCCGUGUGCUUAUGAUGAUGGGUGGACUGCUCUCAAGUGGGUUAACUCUAGACCAUGGCUUCAAAGUCAGAAAGAUUCUCAGGUUCAUAUAUAUCUAGCCGGAGAUAGCUCUGGUGGUAACAUUGCACACCAUGUUGCUCUGCGAGCCAUAGAAUCGGGAAUUGAUGUAUUGGGAAAUAUAUUGCUCAAUCCAAUGUUUGGUGGACAAGAAAGAACUGAAUCUGAAAAGCGUUUAGAUGGGAAAUACUUUGUUACUCUACGAGAUCGGGACUGGUAUUGGAGAGCUUAUCUUCCUGAAGGCGAAGACAGAGACCAUCCUGCAUGUAAUCCUUUUGGACCUAACGGUAGAAGUCUCGAGGGAAUCAAAUUUCCAAAGAGUCUUGUCGUGGUUGCCGGCUUGGACCUUAUUCAGGAUUGGCAAUUGGCUUAUGUUGAAGGGCUCAAAAAAGCUGGACAAGAGGUUAAACUUUUAUACAUGGAACAGGCCACGAUUGGUUUCUACUUGUUGCCGAGUAGCAAUCACUUCCAUACUGUUACGGACGAGAUAAGCAAGUUCGUGAGUUCUGACUCUAUUAAAACAAUAGGGGAAAGAAUCAUGCAAUGUAUCGGACCUCUAUUAUGCGUAGAUUAUGUAUGUUUAUUCAAAUGUUUUUUAGGAUAAGAUGGAAAAUAAUUUGAUUAUUAAUAUUAUUUGAUAAUGAAUAUAAAAGUGGGUUGUAGUAUUGGUUGUGUGUGUGUGUGUCAAUAUUCGAGGGAAGUCCACAACAAUCCAAAAGCUGCUCCCAGUUGUUGACCCAUUGCCAAUGCUUCCAAAACUAUAGGGAGACUGUGGGCUGAGAGAGAGAUGCCUAAUAAUAAUAGCGAAAACUAAACUUCAUAGACAAUGACAGCGGCAUAUAUAGACAGAUAGAUACUAGCUGUUUGGUUUUGCUUCCUCACUCAUUUUUCCAAUAAUAUGACUUAUGUCUUGUUUUAUUUUUAUUCCAUUUCCUUUAUUUUUAAUUUCUCUUUAAGUUCUAUAUUUUAUUUUUAUUUUAAUACAUUUUAAAUAUAUUUUAAUAUAACUUUUUUUUCAGAGGAAUUGAAAUAACUAUUAGUUUGUUUUUUUUAAUUUUAGAAAUUCUUAUGAAUAAUAUUUAUUUUUUAAAUUUUUUUUAAAAACAAUCAAUUGUGCAUUUACGGUUAUUUUUUUUCAACAUUGCAUUUAUUUUUAUUUUAUUAACAGAAAUUAUUAAUUACAAUUCAAUCAUUAUUUACUCAAUUUUUGAAUAUUGUAGAGACUAAAUUGUUUUUUUAUAAAGAUAAUUUGAACCAAAUUAUUGUUAGAAUGAAUAUCCCGUCAAUAGAUUACAAUUUAAGGUUUAAAUUACUCUCUUUUUUUUUAUCUUAAUAAUGAUUAAAUUGCUCCUUAAUUCAUAUUCUAUCAAUGGAAAUAGUUAAUUUUGGUAAUGCAAAAGAAAAGUUGGGAGAAGACUUCUAAGAAACUUUAAAUAUAACCCUACUUCCUACUUUUAUCGAGUAACUGAGGAUAAGGCCCAACACAUUUACGUUGUUGUUGCCUGCUUGGUUUAUGUUUGUGCCUACAACACAUAUUGGAUGGAUUUGUUAUUUAUCUUUUACGAAUAUUAUAUCAUUUCUGUUUCUAAAUUGUUACAAUUUUGACUUGAUCUGUUGUGUUUUUUUAAGGAAACUAGCUUUUCGCGAUCAUUGUCCUUCAAAAAAUCUUAUAAAUAGUUGGGUUCUCGUUUCUGAAAACUUUUUCUAUCAAGUUUUCAAUCUUGUUUUCCUGACCUCUUUUUCCAGAUCCUUUUUCGAGAAGAACAAUACCAAUUGUGUUCCACAUUCUUUAUUCGGGUGUACGAAUAUUGAAGUUUUGUGUUAAUCUUUGAGGGCGACGUCCACUACACGAUUACACCGGCCAGGGCGGAUUUGCUUCUAAGAUGGUGAUUCUUCCAUGGCACAGUAAUUAUUUCAUUUAUUUACACAAUUUACUCUUUCCUGUUAGUGCUAACGGUUUGUUUUACAAUAAUAUGUUUCCAACAAUUAACCCUGUUAUUAAUUGAUUUUACUUGCUCACACAAUAUAGGCCUAUCUAUAGAUUAAGCGAUGAGUGUUUGAAUAAAUUUUUUUUGUCCUCAUACCAAUUUAGCUCAGUUGGAAUUUAAAUUAAAUAAUUUAAAUAUAAUUAUAAAAUUUACACGUAUUAAUAAAAAAUAUAAAAUCGAUAUUAAUCGUUGAAAUUAAUUUUCGAAGGGAAAUGACUUUAGAACUUUAUUUUUACGAUACGAAUAUAGAAUCAUGGUGGUACAUUAUGAGAUUGACAUGAUUAAUGUACUAUGCAGAAUGGGAUGAAUUAUGAGAUGGGGACAAUGCGAGAGAUGGAUGGAUGGAUGGAGAAAGGUUAAUAGGCUGAGGAAAUGAAUUUAGAUUCAAGAAAACGAGAGUUUACCUAAUUUUUUUUAGAAUAUAUAGUACUGGUAUUCAAACCAGCAAUGGUAAUAUCCUCAAGUGUCACCAUGUACACAUCAGUAUUAAGUUUAGUUGUCUCAAUACAGUCUUCUUUUAACUGAAGAUGUCAAUAAGCACCAUCCAAAGUCUUGAUGUUCUCAUUGUGAGUAAGGUGCACUUUCAUUUGCCCCCAAUUAUGAGGUAAGGAUCGAAUAAGGGCACGAACCAGAUGAUCAUUGGACUGUGAGCUACAUCUUUCAGCUCACUUAUCAUAUUAGACACUUCUCUUACAUGCUGCAUCAUAUUAUGAUUAAAUCAUUUAUUGUUGCCACUAAACUUCAUCUUAAGAGCAAUCCCCAUUUCUUUUGCUAUUUCAUUCUUACCAAACUCACGUAUGAUGUCAUUGUCUAUACUACUUAGCAAUAUAAUGCGAGCAAUGGAAUUUAUCUUUUUCUAGCCAUCUUAAAUCUCUCAAUCCCUUCUAUGUUGGGUCGUAUUCUCAUUUUCAAACUCUUUCUGAACAUUAUUUAGAACCUCGUAAAUCUCUUAUUACUCUAAAUCAUACUGAAUUUUUUUUUUUACUCUAGAUUUCAAGAUUUCCCUUUUAAUUUUCAACUUUUUUUUCUGUUAUUUUUAAUUUGCAUUAGCUUUACUUGUAUAUUAAAAAAAAUGAAUUCACAUAGUAGGCUUUAAGGUAAAGAAAAAGAAAACCCACACACUUACUAAAAAAUUGAUAGUUAAUCUUAUAUUUGAUCUAAUCUCAAAGUUUGAAUCAAUUUACUUUAAAUUUAAUAAUAAUAAUAUUAUUUAAUUUUAAUAUUAAAAUAUUAAAUAAUAUAAAAAAUAAAUUAUUAACAUUUUAAAAAUCAAUAUUAUUAUUAAAUCUGCUUGGUGCCAUGAGUUAAUAAGAUACAAACGUAAUUGAAAAUGAAAAAUAAAAUAAAAUAAAUAAAUUUUGAAAUAGAAAUAACAAAUAUUUUUAUAUCUUAAAAUGUAUAUUUUUAUAAUAUAUUUUUAAUAAAUGACUUAACUAUUUAUCUAGAAAAACCUCUUUUAAAAAAUGUAUUAUUUUUUAAAUGAUUGCCCACUUUCAUAAAAAUAUUUUUAUUUAAAAAAGUUAAUGUAAUUUUUGGUAUCUAAAUUUGACAAUUAGAUUAAUUUUGAUACGUAUAUUUUUUUUAUGGUCCGCUUUACUAUCUAAAUUUAGCAAUUAAAUCAUUUGUAAUCUUGAACUUGGAAAAUGUAAAACAUUGAUGAUGUGAUACUUUAAUGUUACAAUACGCAUCACUUAAAAAAAUAAUAUAAUUUUUAAGUGAUGAUGUGAUACAACUUCAAUAUGUCACUGAAGACUAAAAUAGACCGUUGCUAAUUUCAAGAACCAUAAUAGAUAAAAGGGGUAAAGUACAAAAAAAAUAGUUAUUUUUGUUUGCUUCAGAUUACAUUUUGGUCGCUUAUGCUUGAAAUGUUACGUUUUAGUUACGUUAUGGUUUUGUUACGAAGUGGUCACUCUACCGUUAAGUUCUGUUACCUCCCUAACGGCGAUCUUACGUGGCAAUCAAAAUUAAAUUUAUUUAAUUAAAAACCUAUUUUCACUCCAGUAACUAGAUAUCUAAGUUGGCAUUUAAAACCCAUUUAGACUACCACGUAGGACUGCCAUUAGGGAGGUGACGGAGUCUAACGAUAGAGUGACUAUUUCGUAACAAACGAUAACGUAAGUGAUUAAAACGUAACAUUUCAGACAUAAUUGACUAAAAUGUAAUCUGAGACAAACAAAAGUGACUAUUUUUAUACUUUACCCUAGAUAAAAGAUACAAAUAUUAAAAUGAAUUUAAUUAACAAAUUCAAGAUAAAAAAACAUUUUUAUUACUUUUCUUUUUCUAAUAUUUUUAAUAAUUUUUAUUACAUUUAAGUGUUCUAAUUUUUAAUAAUAUAUUUCAAAGUUUUGGUUUGUUUCACAUUUAAAAUUUUAAUUUAAAUUGAGAUUUUUCCAGUAUAGAUUAAAUAUAAGAAUACAUAAACAUUCAAAAUAAGCACAAAUUUUAGUAAGGAUAAAAAUUCAUGAAUAGCUCAUAAAAACGACAACAGCCUAAAUAAGAAACGGCAUCGAUUUUCCGCCAUUUUCCUUUCCCAUGGUACGGUAUUUCCGUGGUUUGGAUGUCUAAAAUAGGUGUAAAGUGUCAUUUGAUAUAAAUAAUCAUCUCAGGAAGUCAAAGAGGAGAUCUGACGGACUCCGUUUGUCCUCACGUAACCUGACGUCGGCGCAUGCGGGGUAGCUUUUGUUUUGUCCCCUUUUUUGUUUCUUCCUCUAAAUAAAAUCAAAUUUAAAAUUAAGAAAAAAACCAUUUCCGUUAUCGUUAGUUUCCAACUUAUUAGAACGAGACCAUUUUGUUUAAGGGGAUUAUUUUUUCAAGAUAUAAUUGCGAGGUGAAAAAUUCUAUCGUACCACAACCACCGCCAAUCUAAAGGCAUAUUCAAUAUAAAUUAGCCAAUAAGUUAUUGGUAAGGGAAACAGUCCGUGGGUUGGACAAAUUUUUUUCUUAUAAAUUCGUAUAAUUUAAUAAUUUACUCGAUCAAUUUAGCUCUUACUGAAUUUAUUCAAACUGAUUUAGCAUAGACUGAAAUUGGAUAAAAGAAUCGGAAAGAUAUUUGUAAUAAGAUUUAGAUUGCAUUUUGCUCUUUCUAUUAAAAAGAUAGGUAAAUUAAUCAUUGUAUGUUAAAUCAAAGAGCAAAUUGGUCAUUUGUUAAAAACUUCAUCUAUUUUUACUAUUAAAAAUUAGUCUUUGUAUGUCAGCACGAUAUACAGGCAGUACAACUUGUGUCGCUAUCCAGUUAUUCCAUCAGAUACAUUAGUUUUUAAUUGUACAAAAUAGAUGAAUCUUUUAAAAGGACUAAUUUGUUCUUUGAUUUAAUGCACAAUGAUUAAUCUACUAUUUUUUAAAUAGAUGGAGCAAAAUGCAAUCUGACUACUAGUAUAAGAGCCUUUAUGGUGCUUUUACCUUGAAAUGAUUCAAUCUAUUGAAUUGAAUUAGAUUGGAAUUGGUUUUUAGUUAAAGUUUUAUAUUAUAAACUUUUUAGACAAUGUGUCUAGAAUUAGACAUAACUCCUCAAACCCUUAAAUAAGAGGAUAAAUGCACUUUGACGCACUCGAAUCCAUAUCCUUUUACACUGACAACAAUGUCAAUGCCAAAUGAACUAAGACUCAAUCGACUUAUAUUAUACAAUAUAUUUGUUUUUAAUAUAAAAAACCCAAAUUUUAAUACUUAAUUUUAUCCUUUUACACUGACAACAAUGUCAAUGCCAAAUGAACUAAGACUUAAUCGACUUAUAUUAUACAAUAUAUUUGUUUUUAAUAUAAAAAACCCAAAUUUUAAUACUUAAUUUUAUCAUUUGAACCAAAAAAAUUAACCAAAAUCUUUUUUAUAUUAUAUAUUAUAAACAUGUUUUUAAAAUGAAAAAUUACAUAUAUUAAAAAAAAUUAAAUUGAUGAACUCAAUUACAAAAUUUCAUGAUGAAGAACCUAUCCACAUAACUUUUUUUAUACAUCACAAUUUUUAAGGCCCUACAAAAUCAUUUUUAACCAUUAUAAUUUACUUAAUUCAACUGAUUGAAUUGAAAAUUAUUUGUUAUUUUUUUAUAAUUAAAGAUAAUAUAACUCAAAUUCAUUUUUAUAUUUUUAAAAUUCGAAUAUAUGAUUUUUUUUAUUAUAAAAUUCGUCAACGGAUGUAUUUAUAUAAGAUUUAUAUUCUGUUCUUUUUAAUUUAAAAUUUAAAAUUUAAAAUUUAUAUAGAUCUCUAAUAUAAAUAUAUAUUUGUGUUAAAUAUGAAAAACUAAAAUAAAAAAAAUUGUACAAAUUUCGAUAAAACAACAUCUAUAGGACCCAGUAAACAGUUUUCUUUCGGCCGAUCAAUUUGUCAUAUCUCAUGUCCUUAUUCACAUUAGGCGUACUUUAGUCAUUCUCCGUUUACAGCUUCUAACCUGCGCCACAAUUUUCCUAUCCUUCACCCGCACCACACAUAUAAUAACCUCCCUGUUUUAAUUUAUUUAUUGGUGUGAGAUUUAUCAUUUUAUUGUUCACUCUGUUUUUCUGCUCUCUUAUGAACUUAUAAUUAAGCCAAAAAGAAAAAAAAAAGGUUUUAGUGAAUUUGAUAAUGAGCUGAACAGCAGAAAAAAGAGGGAUCUUUGGAGUGGAAAAUAGAAUAAGAAUAGAAUCUUUGUUGUUUGUUUCUUCUUUAAAAAAAAAAACAAAAUUGGUUUUGUGAUAUGAAUUGUGGGUUUCUGGGUUGUUCUUCGAAAGGAUCUGUUUGAAGCUUUGGGGUUUUGUUUUUGAGUCUUUAAAGAAGGGGGGAAAUGGCUAGAAGUAAUGAAGUCAACCUCAAUGAAUGCAAGGUACGAUCUUUAUUCUUUGUUUUUAUUUGUCAAUUUCUAUUAUUUCUAUCUAGAGUUGGAUUGUCAAACUUGGUUUUUAAUGGAUUUGUAAUAUAUUUUAUGCCUUUUUUGGUUAAAUGAAACCCAGUGUAGCGGUGUUUUUUUUUGGUUAGAGCUUGGUAGUCUUAUCAAGUCAUUUCUAUUUGAAGAUCUUUUCUUAAAACUUUGGGGGCAUUUAGGGUUGUUGAAACUUUAUUAUUUUAUUGUUUUUGGGGUAUGUGUCUAUUUAAUUUGUGGAUUGUUUUGCUUUUGGUUUUUAGUGAUUUAGGUUUGGAGCUAUUGAUUGUGUUUCUCCAAGAAAGUUGGAGUUUUCCGAUAGUAGUUCAUUCUUUGGAGUAGUGUUAUUUAAGAGGCUUGAUUAGAUUGUGAAGAUCAUAUAAAUCAGUGAAGGAAUCUAUAUGUUGUUGGUUUGGAUCUGCUUGCUUUGAUGGAUAGUUUUGUCUUUAACACCUUGUGAAAAAUUAUGGAGUUCAUAGCAUGUAUUUCAUACGGACUUUUGUGUAUAUUGACAAUUGACAAAGUGAGUUAAGUAAACAAUGGAUUUGAUCUUUUCUUUGCCUUUAACACUGAAUAGAUAGUGGUUUCCCUAAAUAUAUGUGUUGCUUGGAAGAUGAAGCUCUUUGUUUUGAUUUUUUUUUCUUUGCCUUUGUCUCUGAAUAGAUGGUGGUUCCCCUAAAUACGUGGGUCCUCAUCUCCAAUUUUAAGUUGGCUUACAAUCUUCUUCGUCGACCUGAUGGCACUUUCAAUCGUCACUUGGCAGAGUUUCUUGAUCGCAAAGUCCCUGCUAAUGCUAACCCAGUUGAUGGGGUUUUCUCGUUUGAUGUUCUCAUUGAUCGUGGUACGAGCCUCCUGAGUCGGAUUUAUAGGCCAACUACAGCUGAAGAGCCUCAACCGAAUAUUGCUGAACUUGAGAAACCUGUUACAGCGGCGGUGGUCCCUGUUAUUAUUUUCUUUCAUGGUGGAAGCUUUGCACAUUCCUCGGCUAAUAGUGCUAUAUAUGACACUCUAUGUCGGAGAUUGGUAAGGCUUUGUAAGGCUGUUGUGGUCUCCGUGAAUUAUCGCCGU
Molecule: long non-coding RNA, 8317 nt
Filed under: Gossypium barbadense (sea-island cotton)
Lineage: Eukaryota; Viridiplantae; Streptophyta; Magnoliopsida; Malvales; Malvaceae
Description: long non-coding RNA (GBAR_LNC022687)
Source: RNAcentral